RNAcentral lists this ribosomal RNA (446 nucleotides) under uncultured bacterium. RNAcentral's name for it is "bacterial SSU rRNA". It matches the Rfam family "Bacterial small subunit ribosomal RNA", at positions 329 to 792 of the family's 1533-position model. The record is from RNAcentral.
GCCCAGACUCCUACGGGAGGCAGCAGUGGGGAAUAUUGCACAAUGGGGGAAACCCUGAUGCAGCGACGCCGCGUGAGUGAAGAAGUAUUUCGGUAUGUAAAGCUCUAUCAGCAGGGAAGAAAAUGACGGUACCUGAUUAAGAAGCCCCGGCUAACUACGUGCCAGCAGCCGCGGUAAUACGUAGGGGGCAAGCGUUAUCCGGAUUUACUGGGUGUAAAGGGAGCGUAGACGGCUGUGCAAGCCAGAUGUGAAAGCCCGGGGCUCAACCCCGGGACUGCAUUUGGAACUGUGUGGCUGGAGUGUCGGAGAGGCAGGCGGAAUUCCUAGUGUAGCGGUGAAAUGCGUAGAUAUUAGGAGGAACCCCAGUGGCGAAGGCGGCCUGCUGGACGAUGACUGACGUUGAGGCUCGAAAGCGUGGGGAGCAAACAGGAUUAGAUACCCCCGUA